RNAcentral lists this transfer RNA (85 nucleotides) under uncultured archaeon. RNAcentral describes it as "tRNA-Leu(tag)". It matches the Rfam family "tRNA". From Rfam's summary of the family: Transfer RNA (tRNA) molecules are approximately 80 nucleotides in length. Their secondary structure includes four short double-helical elements and three loops (D, anti-codon, and T loops). Further hydrogen bonds mediate the characteristic L-shaped molecular structure. tRNAs have two regions of fundamental functional importance: the anti-codon, which is responsible for specific mRNA codon recognition, and the 3' end, to which the tRNAs corresponding amino acid is attached (by aminoacyl-tRNA synthetases). tRNAs cope with the degeneracy of the genetic code in two manners: having more than one tRNA (with a specific anti-codon) for a particular amino acid; and 'wobble' base-pairing, i.e. permitting non-standard base-pairing at the 3rd anti-codon position. The record is from RNAcentral.
GCACGGGUUAGGGAGUGGUCAAACCUAGCAGGCUUAGGACCUGCCCGCUUAGUGCGUUCGACGGUUCGAGUCCGUCCCCGUGCAC